ACGCUCGACACCUACGGGAGGCUGCAGUGGGGAAUAUUGCACAAUGGGGGAAACCCUGAUGCAGCGACGCCGCGUGAGCGAAGAAGUAUUUCGGUAUGUAAAGCUCUAUCAGCAGGGAAGAAACUGACGGUACCUGACUAAGAAGCACCGGCUAAAUACGUGCCAGCAGCCGAGGUAAUCUGAGCGGGCUGGCAAGGC
RNAcentral lists this ribosomal RNA (198 nucleotides) under uncultured bacterium. Its description in RNAcentral is "partial 16S ribosomal RNA". It matches the Rfam family "Bacterial small subunit ribosomal RNA", at positions 328 to 539 of the family's 1533-position model. The record is from RNAcentral.